GAUGAACGCUGGCGGCGUGCCUAAUACAUGCAAGUCGAACGAACAGACGAGGAGCUUGCUCCUCUGACGUUAGCGGCGGACGUGAGAGUAACACGUGUAUCACGUACCUAUAAGACUGGGAUCACUUCGGGAAACCGGCGCUAAUACCGGAUAAUAUAUUGAUCCGCAUGGUUCAAUAGUGAGAGUCGGUUUUGCUGUCUCUACUAGAUGGAUCCGCGCCGCAUUAGCUAGUUGGUACGGUCACGGCUUACCAAGGCGACGAUGCGUAGCCGACCUGAGAGAGGGAUCGGCCGCACGGGAACGGAGACACGCUCAAGACUCCUACGGGAGGCAGCAGUAGGGAAUGUGACGCAAUGGGCGAAGGCAUGACGGAGCAACGCGGCGUGAGUGAUGAAGGUCUUCGGAGCGUAAAACUCUGUUAUUAGGGAAGAACAAAUGUGUAAGUAACUAUGCACGUCGUGACGGUACCUAAUCAGAAAGCCACGGCUAACUACGUG
This 497-nucleotide ribosomal RNA is filed under the name uncultured bacterium. RNAcentral describes it as "partial 16S ribosomal RNA". It matches the Rfam family "Bacterial small subunit ribosomal RNA", at positions 28 to 507 of the family's 1533-position model. The record is from RNAcentral.